RNAcentral lists this long non-coding RNA (5265 nucleotides) under Elaeis guineensis (African oil palm). RNAcentral's name for it is "long non-coding RNA (EGUI_LNC057198)". Lineage: Eukaryota; Viridiplantae; Streptophyta; Magnoliopsida; Arecales; Arecaceae. The record is from RNAcentral.
AACGUUAAGGAACCACUCGCCCUCUCAAAACUUUCUAGUUACUUGUAGUUCCUGCAAUGAAUUGCAUAUCUUAAUCAGACUUUCAAUUUUUAAUAUCAAGUAGUAGUAUCACAAAUAGAGAAAUUACAAGAUGUUAUCAUAUAAGUAUCUUGUGAAGCAACCAUUUGCUUUUUUCUCUUAUUCAUAGACCUGUUUGGGUUAAGGAUGGCUAUAUAAGCAGGAUAAUUUUUUUUAAAUGAUUCAGCUUCUUAUAGAAGAAGUACUUUAUCUGGCUCUUAUCAACUUUUAAUGAUUUGCUCUGCUUAGGAUUGACGGCAUGGGAUUUCUGCACCUUCUGCUUCUUUUCUCUCUUAAAAGAUCGACACCCUGUAGAUGAAUCUCUCACUAAAUUUACUAAUUUCUUCUGGAGUUGGUGAUCCUUCUCAAAAAUCUGUAGUAAUCUUAGCAAACCAUAGUAGUUCAUCACAGACUUCAUCAUUCUAUAAUGACUCAGAAAGGGUAGGUAGGAUUUCGGUAGCAAAUUGAGGAUAUCAUCCUUGCCUAAUUGUUCAUGUAACGGAAAGCCAAGUUUGCUAAGGUGUUCAAUCUGCUCAAUCAUAUACAAUACAUGAUCAGUGACUAAAGUUCUCUCUCAUAUACGGGCAUUGAACACUACACAGAAAGUUUUGUCUCUUCGUAUCUUUUGGGAUGUCGAAGGACUCAUUCAACAUUUGAAUGAUCUCCUGUUGCUGCGCAUCCUCAAACUUAUGGCUAAGUUUGUCAUUCAUGGCUGCCCUCAUCAUACAAUGCAUAGUCAUGUGAUCAUUAAGCCACUUUAUGUAAGUAUCUCUUACAACACAGAGAGCGUUGGCUGUAGAUUCUUCAGGUGCCUCAUCUGCAAGGACGUAUAAAAUCCUCUUGUGCUCCUAGACGAUCUACAACUCUUGAUACUGGCUAUCGAAGUUGGAUCCGAUGAGCUUGUCGCUGUUGAACAGUGUACGGAGGGAUAGUGUGUUGGUCAUAACUAACAGAAAAAAUAUAAGCCAAUUAGUAUAUAAAUCAUUUUUAAUAUUGAAGAUAUGAACUUUAGUCUAAAGGUUCUCUCACUAUUUUUACGAAUUGAUAGCUCUACCUCCAACUCGAGGAAUUAUAUUAAUUCUUUAGGGGAUACUAGAAUCCACACAGACUGUAUUCAGGUCUGAGUGUGGCUCGGUCAAUCCUAGUACAUCCAUGGAUAGGUUCAUAACCAAAUAUUUCUUCAAUUAAUUUUUAAAAAUUAGAUUUUGCCCCAGGCAUCCUUUCAGCAGACAUGUAGUGCCUCCAUUGAAAAUCCUGGUUAGGUCCAACCAUUAACAUGACACAUCAAGUGCAUCCAAUAAAUGAAUAUUCAAGUCCAAGUAUAUCUCGAUCAACCUAAGCAUUGAUAUAAAGGUAUAUCAUAAUGGUCAUAUGAUGAAUGAUAAUUACAAUACGUAAUAGACACCAGGCAUGUGGCGCCUCUAAUACCUAUUUAGAAUAUUGGACUCAUUAUUAUGUACCUUAAUAGGAGGCUAUGAUCAAGUUUUCUCAUAACUCUAUCAUUUUAUGGAUCUAAUAAUUUAAAAAAUUUAAUUUUAUUAACUUAAGAAUAAGAGAAGAAGAUGACCUGCAAGCUGCAAAUCCUCCCACUGACUUCACCAAGUCAUGUAGGAGAUUAGACACAAGCUAGUCUAAAGAUAUCUAAAUCAGUCACACUGAUUCACCUUAAUGGCAUGGGUCUGUACGAAUCGACUAGUGACUUAAUCAAAAUAUAAUCUAUCAUGUUGGCCAGAUAAGUGAGAUCAGUGGGAGGGAUGUGCCCUUAACUCACCAUAGAUGUAUCAUGGUGAAUAGCUCUCAGUUAAAAAUCACUUGAUCGAAUCUAUCAAAUUUAUCUUGAAUACUAACUAGUUAAUUAGUUUCAAUUUAAACCACCAGAAGAUUCGGGCUUAACCAUGGAGCCAUGAUCAUGGUCCAUUUAUUAGGGUCAAACAUUUAGACUUGAUCAAACUUCAACUACUGAGAUUGAUUUAGAGAAAUUCUGACCUAAUCUAAUUCAAUACUUUAUUAGAUUUAAUUAAUUUCUUUAUUUGGUCCAUAUAUGUCUCUAACCCUAGAUCUAACCCAUUAGUGUUGAGUUCCAGUGGCAAAGUGGAAGGGUUAGGUAUUUAAAAUUUUCAUUCAAAACACCCAAUGCACCGAAAGCCCUAAUGCCCAGAAACCCUUGACUAUAAUAAUCAAAGCAUAAUAAAUAUAAAUAAGGAUAAGAUGAAUACCUAUAGCGCUAAUCUCAAUUUUCACAAGGUGUCCAAGUGUCUGCCCUCCAAUGGUGAUCCACACAAAAAUUGAACCAAAGACAGCGCUCAUUCUCAUCUUGCUUCAAGAUUUCUAUCCCCUAGAACUUGACUAGCCUCAUACCAGUCAGGUUUCUUCAAGAACCUAACAUCACCCUAUUAGAACAUCCUCUGGACUGUUGAUUCUCCUUCUUUAAGACCUUUAUAACCUUUGUUAGGUUAUCCUAACCUUUGUUAGGAUAACCUUUGUUAUCCUAAAACUAAGAUAGGGUAUGUUCCUUCCUUUUGGCAUCCCUUUGGUGGCCAUAAAUUGGCUUGGGUGCUGGAUGUCUGAGGCAUUUAGAAAAAAUUUCCAAUUUCUCUCCGUAGCUCUCCCUUCUUUCUUACAACCUAUCUUAGUUUUAGGAUAAGGCUUUGAGAUUUAAGACAAAACCUUAUCUGGUCCAAACAAAGGUUGUGAGGGUCUUAAAGAAGGAGAAUCAAAAGUCUAGAGGAGGAUCUUAGAGGAUCAAAUCAGGUUCUUAAAGAAAUCUAAUCGGUACGAGGCUAGUCGAGUUCUAGAGGCUAGAACUCUUGAAGCAAGGUGAAGGAGGAAUGCUGCCUUUGGUUCAAUUUUUGUGUAGAUCACCAUUGGAGGAUGGACACUUGGAUGCCUCAUAGAAAUUGAUAUUAGCGCUAUAGGUAUUCUUCUUAUCCUAGUUUACAUUUAUUGUACUUUGAUUAUUAUAAUCUAGGAUUUCUGGGUAUUAGGGUUUUCAAUGCAUUGGGUGUUUUGAAUGAAAUUUUUAAACACCUAGUCCUUUCGCUGCACCAUCGAAGCCCAACAAAAUGACUACAUAAUCAAAAGCCUACUUGUAGAUACAAGACUCUUCUCCAUUCAUAAUGAAGCCAUACAUUUUGAUCACCUUAUCGAAAUGUAUGUUCCAACUCCUAGAUGCCUGCUUAAGUCCGUAAAUAGAUCUAUUCAGCUUGCGCACUUUUGACUCAUCUGUGGAUGUGAACCCUUCAGAUUGUAUCAUAUACACCUCUUCUUCCAGCUCCUUAUUAAGGAAAGCAGUUUUGAUAUCUAUUUGCCAGAUCUCAUAAUUUAAAUAUGUAGCAAUAGGAAACAUAAUCUAGAUGGACUUGAGCAUUGGCACAGGAGAGAACAUCUCGUCAUAGUCAAUACCAUAAUACUGAUGGUAAUCCUUGGCAACUAGAUAGGCUUUAUAGGUCUCUACCUUUUAGUCCGCUCUUCUUUUUCUCUUAAAAAUUCAUUUAUAUCCUAUAGGUUUUAUCCCAUCGGGUGGAUCAACUAGCGUCCAUACACCAUUGAUCUCUAUGGACUCUAUCUCGGACUUCAUGGCCUCAAGCCAUUUUUAGUAGUUGGGCCUUUGCAUGGCUUCUAUAUAGGUGGUCAGAUCCUCAUCAUUCUCAUCAAGUUCAAUGGGAUCACCAUUCUAGACUAGAAAAUUGUAGUAUCUAUCCGACUGACACGGUACUCUAUCGGAUCUCCUUAAUGGUACCUCUAAUGGCUUCAAAUUCGAUUCACUAAUCAAAUUUAAUUUUGUGUGUGUCGAUCCUUCCACCUUAUAAACUUCAUCAAAUUCAAUUUUACAGGCAUUAGCUUCUUCACCAAGAAACUUCUUUUUCAAAAAGAUUGCCCGGCUACCUUUUGUUCUGCAGCAAGAUAGAAGUAAUAUACUUUAAUUUUCUUUGGGUACCCUACAAAUAAAGCAUCUAUCGGACUUAGGUCCAAACUUAUCUAUCUUUAAAUGCUUGACAUAAGCUUGACACCCCCAAACCCUAAGGUGUGAGAGCAUCAGCUUACGCUCAGUCCAUAUCUCAUAUGGAGUUUUAACGAUAGACUUACUCGGCACCUUAUUUAAAAUGUUGCAGGCAGUUUCUAGAGCAUAUCCCCAAAAGAAGAUUGGUAGACUCGCAAAUUCCAUCAUGGAUGGACCAUAUCUAACAAAGUUUGAUUCUUCCUCUCAGACAACCCGUUAUAUUGUGGUGUUCCAAAAGAGAUCCAUUAGGAGGGAAUCCUAUUCUUUUCUAGAUAUGUCAGGAAUUCAUUGGUGAGGUAUUCACCUUCUCGAUCUGAUCGAAAAAUCUUAAUACUCUUUUCAGUCUGUUUCUCUACUUCAGCAUAAAAUUAUUUGAACAUUUCAAAUGAUUCUGACUUAUGUUUCAUAAGAUAGAUAUAUCCAAACCUCUAUAGGUCGUCUGUAAACGUAAUGAAGUAGUAGUAUCCUCCUCUGGCACAUAUAUUCAUAGGUCCGCAUACAUCAGUAUGUUUUAGAUCUAGGAUAUCGCUGGCUCUUUCAUCUUUUUCAUUAAAAGGUGACUUAGUCAUCUUACCAAGUAGACAGGAUUCGCAGGUUGGUAAUGAUUCACAAUCAUCUAUUUCAAGGAUACGUUCUUUGAUCAACCUGUCAAUCAUAUUCUUGUUCAUAUGACCAAGCCUACAAUGCCAAAGGUAGGAUUCACUGACGUUAUCUAAUUUAGGACAUUUGCUGGCUGUGUAUAUUACACUAACAGACUGUGAUAUUAUGUAUAUGUCAUAUUUUAAUUGUCUAUGUAUAAUUGCAGUAUCAUUCAAAAUGAUAUCACAAAAAUCAUUCUUUAUUAUAAACUUGAAACCAAGUUUGGCCAAAAGACCUAUAGAGAUGACAUUCAUUAAAAUGGAGAGACAAUAAUGACAAUCAUCUAACAUGAUACUACUGGACUCGAAGACAAGCUGCAUAAUUUUCAAGGCUAGAAUUGGAACAAGACUUCUAUCUCCAACGUUAAGGAACCACUCGCCCUCUCAAAACUUCCUAGUUACUUGUAGUUCCUGUAAUGAAUUGCAUAUCUUAAUCAAACUUUCAAUUUCUAAUAUCCAAGUAGUAGUAUCAUAAAUAAAGAAAUUAUAAGAUGUUAUCAUAUAAGUAUCUUGUGAAGCAACCAUUUGCUUUUUUCUCUUGUUCAUAGACCUGUUUGGGUUAAGGAUGGC